GUUUUUAUUCACUCAUUUUAUUUUUAGUUAACAAAAAUCUCCACACCUUGUUAUAUUCUACUGUAUUGACUCUGGCCUGGACAAACAAACAGCCUGCUUAAAUCCACCUUUUGGUUUCCUGUUGUGAAGUCAGCGGGCCUGCUCAGCUGACCCUCUGUGAACCUUUGCUUGAACAGUACACCUGGGGAUAUGAGAGAGAGAGCGAGAGAGAGAGGGUGACAGGUGGCUGGUCAGAGCGGUGUCGCGCGCCACACAUGCUCCCGACCAGCUUUCAAACGCGCGCGAGCGUGCUCGAGCCUUUUACGUGCACGCGAGAUUAGGCUGCUCGCAGCCCGAAGCCGGUGAGAGUGUGUGAGCGCUCGUCUUCGGCCGCCGGUCCUCGCAAUCGUCGAAGAGCCCCGGGAAGAUGUCGGUGAUGACUCCGUACCGGGAAACCCGUAGCUAACGGCUGCUACUCCUGCGACCAUUGGAUGUUGUUUUUAAAACUUUUCCUUAGGACGGUUGUUUUUGCGGUGUGGGGAUAAAAAACACCACCCGGAGGGACAGGUGUCACCCACCCUUCUUCCUCCAGUUUUGUGUUUCCUCUCCCUCUCACACUCUUUUUUUUUUUUUUGGGAAACCGAGCAGGACCUUGGGGAGCCAUGCUGUGGACACGCUGGCUCGUGCUGCUGCUCUGCUGGGGGGCGACAGGCAGCGAGCAGCAGGCGGAUGAGAGGGGCGCGGUACCCGCUGAGGUCCGGUCGGACUCCCGCAGAGAGCGCUCACCUCCGCCGGUGGAGCCGCUGGAUUUUGGGUUUGUACCCGCGGCGGUUUACAACACCCACGCUUAUUACGAGCCAGGGAGCAUUGGGAUCCUCUUCCACAUGGUCCACGCGUUUCUCUACAUGGUUCAGCCGAACCUCUUUCCCAAAGAUCUCAUUGUCAAAGUCAUUCAGCAAAACAUGGGUGGAAUCAAAAUAGAGGAAUGGAGAAAGCCAGAAAACGUCGUCUUGUUGCUGCAGUGGAUCCAGUACGAGUCGGGAUUUCUCGUAUGUGCAACCUUCGGCGUCGUGUUUGUGGUCCUUAUCCCCAUCAUAGCUAUGUGCUUCUGCAUGUGUCGAUGCUGUGAUAACUGUGGAGGGGAGAUGCAUCAGAGACAGAGGAAAAACGCAGACUGUCACAGAGGUUUCUAUACCGCCUCGCUGAUUGCUACAACCAUCUUCAUCAUUGUGGGAGUUCUCAUUGCUCUCGCCGCAAACCACAACAUCAGCUCACAGGUCAAAAGCACUCGGCGGCUCAUUAACACCAACAUGAGAGACCUGAAGACGUUCGCUAACAACACGCCUGCUCAAGUCGAUUACCUGACAGCCCAGUACACCACAGCCAAGAACAAAGUCCUGUCAGACCUCGACAACAUCGGCCCUUUGCUGGGGGGUAGGAUCCACAUUCAGCUGGAGAAAUCAGUGAUUCCUUCGCUGGACACCGCCCUGCGUAUGGCAGGAGCCAUGCGGGAAACCAAAGAGGCCCUGGAGAACGUCAGCUCGUCCUUGGAGGUGCUCCAGGACGGGGUGGGGAAGCUUCAGGCCAGCCUGUCAGGGGAGCGCGCCUCUCUGUCCAACACCCUGUCCGACCCCGCCUGCACCAACGGAGCUGUGUCGCAUACCUGUAACACCAUCCGCUCCACACUGUCCCAGCUGGGAAUCAAUGCUGACUUCUCCAAGGUCCCAGAUGUUAAUCAUGCCUUGGCCAAUGUCAAUACUGUCCUGAAAACAGAUCUCAGCAACAUUGUACAAAAGGGUUACGCAUCCUUUAACGACACACCAAGACUGGUUAAAGAGCAAACAAAAAACAUUGUUGCAGCUCUGCCUCGAGUAAAGGGGAUGCUGGAUAAGAUCGGUGCAGAGAUCACCGGCUUCUCCAAGAUGUUCCCCGUGGAAGCUUCUCUGGCGAAUUUCACCAUUUUCCUAAAUGAAAGACACAAAGCUAUUGAGUCUUAUUACCCCCAAAUCGAUCAGAUGGAUUUUUACAGGUGGAUCGCCUGUGUGGCGGUGCUCUGCAUGGUCGUCUUGGUGCUAGCCUUUAACAUCCUCGGCCUUCUGUGUGGUAACUGCGGCUACGACAAGCAAGCUACCCCGACCACCCGCGGCUGCCUGUCGAACACCGGGGGAAACCUGCUGAUGGCUGGUGUUGGCUUCUCGUUUAUCUUUGCCUGGGUGCUGAUGGCCAUCGUUACCACCCUGUUUGUUGUUGGUGGCAACGUGGAAAAGCUGAUAUGUGAACCUCUGGCUAACAGACAGUUGUUUAAGAUCAUUGAUACGCCGUUCCUGGUCCAUCCUGAAAAGAGGAACUUCCUUCCUGGGAUGUUGUUCCAGAAUCCAAAUAUUGAUUUAACUCUAGGCGGCAUGUACAGGGAGUGCUAUGACAACAACGGUCUGUAUCACGCUCUGCAGUUGGAGACCAUGUUCAACAUUAACUCCUUCCUCAACAGAACAGUGUACAACAGGGACCUGGCCAAAGUGUUUGAUAGCGUGCAGGUGGACCUGCAGGGCAUCACGCUGCUGGAGCAGGCUGGCAGAGACAACCUCAUCAACUUUGCCAACUCUGGAAUUGGACAGAUUGACUAUCAGGCUUAUCUCACUGAGGUAAAUAAAGGAGUCACUCUAAUAGAUCUGCUGUCCUUCUGUAGCGACCUGGAGGCUCAGGCUGACCAGCUGCCACGUGGUGCUCUGGAGAACGCACUGAGAGGCCAUGCCAGCAGUAUUAGAUCCAUUCACAGAGAACAGGUGGUGCCACUGGAGCAAGCAAUGAGUACGCUGCACCAGAGUAUCAAACAGCUGCAGAAGACAUCGAACGACCUGCCAGUCAAAGUCACAAAUGUCCUGAGUGCCAUUGAUGCAGCAGAGUACCUCAUCACUCAUAAUGCCUCCCACGUGGUGAAGCAGGAAACAAAGGUGUAUGUGCAGGGCUUGGUGGGAUACUUCAAACAGUACACAGAAUGGGUUAGAAACUCUCUAAGUGCAGAGGUGGCCCAGUGUAAACCCAUCAGCAACAUUGUGGACAGUAUGGAAAUAGUAGGAUGCAGCUUCAUAAUCGACUCAGUGAACACAUUCUGGUUUGGUCUCGGAGGCUGCUGCAUCCUGCUCAUCCCCAGCAUCAUCUUCUCUGUCAAACUGGCCAAGUAUUACAGAAGGAUGGACACAGAGGACGUCUUUGAAGAUAUGGCUAAUACAGGUAAUCACGAUGAACAGGUGUGUGAUAUCCAUGGAAACCUUGCCAUCAGCUCUCCCUAUUGUGACACUCUGACUCGGUUCCCUCGGGCCUCUGCCCCCCCGAGCUACUCAGUCUGGUGACCCACUGGAACUCUCUCCCUGCUGAUGAGUGGACAGGAGAACUGGAACUGAUCUUCCCUUUGUGGAUCACCGGCUGUUUAAGCUUCCGAUUCAGAUCUUUUAACACUUCCAAGGACAAAAGCGAAGAACAGUCAUCAACUCUGCGAUGAGGGCGUCUUUCAGCAGUCCUUCAGGCCAUUUGACAAAACCAUUAAUGCCAGCAAAAUCCUAUGAAGUGUUUUCUCGACCCCUUUACCAUUUUAUUAUGUACACCAACAGCUGCAUGUUUAGCUGCAUAGAGAAUCAAUUUGUACUUACAUGAUCAGUUUUAAACAGGGCGACACAAGUGUACAGUUUUUACACUUUCAAGUCUUUUGAAAGUUUUAUAUAUUUUUUGUUAAACUUUGUUUUAUAACAUGUAAGUAGGUUUUGGAGUAAUAGCUUUCUUUUUCUCUGUGAAUAUUUGUAAUAUAGCUUACAUAAUUUGCAUCAAACAGGUUGCACUUAGCAGGUGUUUAUUUAAGGAAUUGUUUGACCAUUUGAAAAAAAAAAAGUAGCUACUCCCUUUCUUUCAGAGGGUUAGAUGAGAAGUUUAUGUGAAAUUCAAGCAGCUGGAAAGCAAAACAACGAAGAGAAAAACAGGCUAACAUUUGUGUUACAUGCACUCUCAAUAGUGCCCAAAUUGGCAAAAGUAAAAAAGGGAGGAACCACCGACACAGUUCAGCCAAUAGGAGAAAAAUGCCAUUGCUAGGUAACAGAGUUAUCAUCAGAGUAUGGUCACUGAUGGCCAUGAUGUUACUCACACAGUAUAAAACACGGAUGUAGCUUCCAGGUAUCAAAAGUGAAGUCAAUACAGACGCUGCAUUGUUUUUAUAAACCACCAGGGGGCAACGUGUGGCUAAAAACACUGUAGAAGUCUCUGCUGAGUUCAUGGGCUCUGUCACUUAUUUUGGGUCAAUACUGACUAACAAGUUAAGUCUGUUUUGUAAGUCUUGGUCAUGUUAUGUUUCAGAAAGAAGGAUUAUCCAGGAUCUGCUCACUGACUUGCGAUCGGUAAGUUGGUAGCCAGUGAGCGAGCAGUUUCAGUCUGACCCGCCCAUCUGUCAUCGUAUCUCGUUUUAAAAUACGAAUAUGGCAACAAAAGCUUCAGGAAGGGAAUUCAGAAAGCAGCAGGUGAUAUCACAGUAGUAAGUCCAUCUGUGACCCCCCCCCAAAAAAAUAGGCAAAACAUUGUGUAGAGUAUAAAAGAAUUUGUCGAUAUACUUUGUGCGGUCAGAGGAUCCACAGUUUUUAAACAUUUGUAAAACUCGGCAGCUAGAAAGACGAUGGUGGUCAAACGGUGGAUCGUCUUUUCCAGUAAGUGCAAAACUUGCUUUGCUCAGUCUAAGCACAUUCUGCAGCCAAGCAUGUAGUGUACAUGUCAUCCUUCAUAGAAGUGGAUUAACUGAAAUAAGACACAAACCAACCAGCCAAACACAUCAGAUUUAUGAAUCAAUGGUGAAACAAGGACAAGUAAUCUAUCUUUGAUUUAGGCUGCAGAAAACUUCAUCAAGUAGCCACCCAUAAAUAUCACCAGGACACAAAAGCACACACCACCUGGUGCUUCAGGUGAAAGUGACACAGAUCUCAUCUCUCGUGGGAAUCUACCAAACAGCUGUGCAGCUGUGUUUUUGACCAAAGAGUUGAAUCAGCUAACAUUCGGUGAGAGUUUGUGUCUUUUCUAAGCAUUUACAUGUCACAGCAGACUAGACAUGUUUUGAGCUGUUUCCACACUUUAUGUCCAAAUCUCAGUUAACCACAGAGCAGAAGUGCUAAUAUUCUCAGCUAACUCAAGACAAAAGCGAAAAGGUAUUGAAUUAUUCAUUUAAGCAGCAAAGCGGCAGCUCUGCUCGGCUCAGUACAUCCUGGAAACAUGAAGACUGCACAGUUUACUACAAAGUGUUACAAGCUAUUAAAUACACAUGUUUGCUUAGUCUAUUGAAUCAGCCUUUAUUUAACUAAAUUUAAUUCAGUCCCUGUUUAUGUUGUUGUUUGUUGUUCAUAAAAACUGUAUGUAGGCUGUCAACUUGUUUGAUCAGCUUCAAAAGUUUGGUAAGCACUGUUUUAACAGGAUUUAAGGAGAGAUGACACACAAAAUAUCAUGUUUCA
This is an RNA transcript of Oreochromis niloticus (Nile tilapia), 5456 nucleotides long. It is a transcript of the gene named prominin 1 b, with no coding region annotated. The transcript has 28 exons. Lineage: Eukaryota; Metazoa; Chordata; Actinopteri; Cichliformes; Cichlidae. The record is from RefSeq and is a predicted model, not a curated record.